Molecule: ribosomal RNA, 497 nt
Filed under: uncultured bacterium
Lineage: Bacteria
Description: partial 16S ribosomal RNA
Rfam family: Bacterial small subunit ribosomal RNA
Source: RNAcentral
GAUGAACGCUGGCGGCGUGCCUAAUACAUGCAAGUCGAGCGAACAGACGAGGAUCUUUCUCCUCUGACGUUAGCGGCGGACGGGUGAUUAACACUUGGAUAACCUACCUAUAAUACUUGGAUAACUUCGUGAAACCGGAGCUAAUACCGGAUAAUAUAUUGAACCGCAUGGUUCAAUAGUUAAAGACGUUUUUUCUGUCUCUUAUAGAUUGUUCCGCGCCGCAUUAGCUAGUUGGUAAGGUAACGGCUUACCAAGGCAACGAUGGGUAGCCGACCUGAGAGGGGGAUCGGCAAAACGGGAAAAGAGAAAGGGAACAGAGUACAACGGGAGGCAGCAGUAGGGAAUAUUACGCAAUGGGCGAAAGCCUGACGGAGCAACGCCGCGUGAGUGAUGAAGGUAUUAGGAUCGUAAAACUAUGUUAUUAGGGAAGAACAAAUGUGUAAGUAAAUAUGCACGUAUUGACGGUACCAAAUCAGAAAGCAACGGCUAACUACGUG